ACCUGGUCUUGACAUCCCGGAGACCCUUAGGAAACUAGGGGUGCUCCAUCUGGAAGAAUCUGGAGACAGGUGCUGCAUGGCUGUCGUCAGCUCGUGUCGUGAGAUGUUGGGUUAAGUCCCGCAACGAGCGCAACCCUUGCCUUUAGUUGCCAGCAGUUCGGCUGGGCACUCUAAAGGGACUGCCGGUGUUAAACCGGAGGAAGGUGGGGAUGACGUCAAGUCCUCAUGGCCUUUAUGACCAGGGCUACACACGUACUACAAUGGCCGAUACAAAGGGCAGCGACACUGCGAGGUGAAGCCAAUCCCGUAAAAUCGGUCUCAGUCCGGAUUGGAGUCUGCAACUCGACUCCAUGAAGUUGGAAUCGCUAGUAAUCGUGGAUCAGCAUGCCACGGUGAAUACGUUCCCGGGCCUU
RNAcentral lists this ribosomal RNA (413 nucleotides) under uncultured Desulfobulbus sp. RNAcentral's name for it is "bacterial SSU rRNA". It matches the Rfam family "Bacterial small subunit ribosomal RNA", at positions 973 to 1382 of the family's 1533-position model. Lineage: Bacteria; Pseudomonadati; Thermodesulfobacteriota; Desulfobulbia; Desulfobulbales; Desulfobulbaceae. The record is from RNAcentral.